RNAcentral lists this ribosomal RNA (253 nucleotides) under uncultured bacterium. Its description in RNAcentral is "partial 16S ribosomal RNA". It matches the Rfam family "Bacterial small subunit ribosomal RNA", at positions 524 to 776 of the family's 1533-position model. The record is from RNAcentral.
GACAGAGGGGGCAAGCGUUGCUCGGAAUCACUGGGCGUAAAGGGCGCGUAGGCGGGAUGGCAAGUCGGUCGUGAAAUCCUUCGGCUCAACCGAAGAACGUCGGCCGAUACUGCCGUUCUUGAGGGAUGCAGAGGAGAUUGGAAUUCCCGGUGUAGCGGUGAAAUGCGCAGAUAUCAGGAGGAACACCGGUGGCGAAGGCGGUUCUCUGGGCAUUACCUGACGCUGAGGAGCGAAAGUGUGGGGAGCGAACAGG